UCCGUAGGUGAACCUGCGGAGGGAUCAUUACCGAGUUUACAACUCCCAAACCCCUGUGAACAUACCUUUAUGUUGCCUCGGCGGAUCAGCCCGCGCCCCGUAAAACGGGACGGCCCGCCGCAGGAACCACAAAACUCUGAUUUUAGUGUAACUUCUGAGUCUAAAAAACAAAUAAAUCAAAACUUUCAACAACGGAUCUCUUGGUUCUGGCAUCGAUGAAGAACGCAGCAAAAUGCGAUAAGUAAUGUGAAUUGCAGAAUUCAGUGAAUCAUCGAAUCUUUGAACGCACAUUGCGCCCGCCAGUAUUCUGGCGGGCAUGCCUGUUCGAGCGUCAUUUCAACCCUCAAGCCCCCGGGUUUGGUGUUGGGGAUCGGGCUGUACUCCAGCCCGGCCCCGAAAUCUAGUGGCGGUCUCGCUGCAGCCUCCAUUGCGUAGUAGCUAACACCUCGCAACUGGAACGCGGCGCGGCCAAGCCGUUAAACCCCCAACUUCUGAAUGUUGACCUCGGAUCAGGUAGGAAUACCCGCUGAACUUAAGCAUAUCAAUAAGCGGAGGA
Molecule: ribosomal RNA, 556 nt
Filed under: Fusarium brachygibbosum
Lineage: Eukaryota; Fungi; Ascomycota; Sordariomycetes; Hypocreales; Nectriaceae
Description: eukaryotic LSU rRNA
Rfam family: 5.8S ribosomal RNA (bases 181-334)
Source: RNAcentral